Molecule: transfer RNA, 73 nt
Filed under: Trichonephila clavata
Lineage: Eukaryota; Metazoa; Arthropoda; Arachnida; Araneae; Nephilidae
Rfam family: tRNA
About the family: Transfer RNA (tRNA) molecules are approximately 80 nucleotides in length. Their secondary structure includes four short double-helical elements and three loops (D, anti-codon, and T loops).
Source: Rfam by way of RNAcentral
GUCCCUGUAGCAUAAUGGGUAGGGCGUUGGACAUCUAAUUCAAAGGUAGUGGGUUCGAAUGCCACCUGGGAUG